This 95-nucleotide transfer RNA is filed under the name Planctomycetaceae bacterium. Its description in RNAcentral is "tRNA-Sec". It matches the Rfam family "Selenocysteine transfer RNA". The record is from RNAcentral. Lineage: Bacteria; Pseudomonadati; Planctomycetota; Planctomycetia; Planctomycetales; Planctomycetaceae.
GGGAGCGAAUGCGGCUCUGGUGACCGUCCCGGUCUUCAAAACCGGUGGAACGUUGUAUUCAGCGUUCGGUGGGUUCGAUUCCCAUCCGCUCCCGC